RNAcentral lists this long non-coding RNA (566 nucleotides) under Homo sapiens (human). Its description in RNAcentral is "non-protein coding lnc-ATG2B-20:3". The record is from RNAcentral. Lineage: Eukaryota; Metazoa; Chordata; Mammalia; Primates; Hominidae.
GAAAAAACGGUCACAUCCCAGAUCCAGGAGACCCCGGGCCACAGCGCUGCGGGAGUUAGCACUCAGUGGCUAUGGGAAGAGAAAGAACAGCUUUCCUGGGGGCUGCUCUGGGCCUGGGGUGCUCCUGUGGCCUCUGAUCUCUCAGGGAGCCAUGAAGGAGAUUGGGCUGGAAAAGUCUCUCGGAGGCUCGCUGGGACCCUGAGGGGAAAAGGGCCUUAGGGUGGGUGAGUGGGCAGGAUUUGGAGAAAGUUGCCCCUUGACUUACAGCAAGAAGUGGAAGGAUUAGAAGCCAUUAAUUCCUGGAAUUGUUCUCUGGAGUGUAAGUGACAACAGCUGUAGCUAUCUGCUCAGUGUCUUUCCACAUGGACUCCCCUGUACAAGGGACGCAUGAAUACACACAGCCAAAUGGGGUGCUGCCGAUUCCACGUGGGAGCAAAGACAGGCCUGCCACCAACUGACAGACAGACAGUCCCAAAGCAAUCAUCUGGACACUCGAGAAAAUGGCCUUAGUCCUGAUUCCCCUCUCUCUUACCCAUUCUCAGGCAGGCACAGGCGGAGAGAGGGAG